Molecule: ribosomal RNA, 253 nt
Filed under: uncultured bacterium
Lineage: Bacteria
Description: partial 16S ribosomal RNA
Rfam family: Bacterial small subunit ribosomal RNA
Source: RNAcentral
UACGUAGGGGGCAAGCGUUGUCCGGAAUCAUUGGGCGUAAAGAGCGUGUAGGCGGCUUGGUAAGUCCGCUGUGAAAGUCCAGGGCUCAACCCUGGAAUGCCGGUGGAAACUGUCAAGCUUGAGUCCGGAAGAGGCGAGUGGAAUUCCUGGUGUAGCGGUGGAAUGCGCAGAUAUCAGGAGGAACACCAAUAGCGAAGGCAGCUCGCUGGGACGUUACUGACACUGAGGCGCGAAAGCGUGGGGAGCAAACAGG